RNAcentral lists this ribosomal RNA (832 nucleotides) under uncultured Candidatus Saccharibacteria bacterium. RNAcentral's name for it is "bacterial SSU rRNA". It matches the Rfam family "Bacterial small subunit ribosomal RNA", at positions 659 to 1520 of the family's 1533-position model. Lineage: Bacteria; Candidatus Saccharimonadota. The record is from RNAcentral.
AACUGGAAUUUCUAGUGUAGGAGUGAAAUCCGUAGAUAUUAGAAGGAACACCGAUAGCGUAGGCAGGUUACUGGGACAGUUCUGACACUAAGGCACGAAAGCGUAGGGAGCAAACGGGAUUAGAUACCCCGGUAGUCUACGCCGUAAACGAUGGAUACUAGCAGUUUUGGGUAUCGACCCCCGGAGUUGCGAAGCUAACGCGUUAAGUAUCCCACCUGUGUAGUACGAUCGCAAGAUUAAAACAUAAAGGAAUUGACGGGGACCCGCACAAGCGGUGGAGCGUGAUCUUUAAUUCGAUGGUAAACGAUAAACCUUACCAAGGCUUGACAUCCGAUGUAGGCUCUCGAAAGAGAACUGUGCCUUCGGGAACAUCGAGACAGGUGAUGCAUGGCCGUCGUCAGCUCGUGUCGUGAGAUGUUUGGUUAAGUCCAUCAACGAGCGCAACCCUUGCAACCAGUUGUAUUUUUCUGGUAGGACUGCCCCGGUAACGGGGAGGAAGGAGGGGAUGAUGUCAGGUCAGUAUUUCCCUUACGCCUUGGGCUAGAAUCGCGCUACAAUGGCUGGUACAAUGCGAAGCGAAGCAGUGAUGUGAAGCAAAUCGCACCAAAGCCAGUCCCAGUUCGGAUAGAAGGCUGAAACUCGCCUUCUUGAAGUCGGAAUCGCUAGUAAUCGCAGAUCAGCAUGUUGCGGUGAAUACGUUCCCGGGUCUUGUACACACCGCCCGUCAAACCAUGAGAGUCACCAACACCCGAAGUCCGCCUCGGCGGCCUAAGGUGGGGGAGAUGAUUGGGGUUAAGUCGUAACAAGGCAUCGGUACGAGAACGUGUCGAUG